This is a long non-coding RNA of Anolis carolinensis (green anole), 3867 nucleotides long. RefSeq lists it as uncharacterized. The record is from RefSeq and is a predicted model, not a curated record. The transcript is spliced from 3 exons. NCBI's taxonomy places the organism in Eukaryota, Metazoa, Chordata, Lepidosauria, Squamata, Anolidae.
GCUGUGAUCAGGUAUUGUUUUGCCAUAAACUCUGUUGUAUUUUCCCUUGUUUUAGUUUGAGGCUUCAUUUCAGGAUCCAUACAGCAGGUAUCUGGGCUAAAUGCAAACAGUGGUGGCACCUGCGAGGAUCUUAAUUCAUGAUCCUGGGUUCCUUUAAGCUCCUCUCUGUUAGGCAAGGGAGAUUCCAAUAUCUAUUUGACUCCCUGAUCUAGCUGAGUUUCUCUUUCCAGGAUUUCAAAUCCAUUAGCCGUAGGAAGGAUAUUUGUUUUACUUACAUCUCCUUUCCAUGCAAAACAAUCUUCCAUUCUUGGCUGUUUGGUGUGUUUCGGUCGAGGGAGUAAACCUGGGCUGACGCCAAGCUCAGUUGCAGCAGAUAUCAUGAGUUGUUUAGAAGGGACAGAAGUAAAGCUAAUGGACCUGUAAUAUCCUGGGUUCCAUUUUCCAGCAGAGGAUGUGAUAUCUUCAGCAUAUUUGCAUGGAGGGUUCUGUAAGCCAAAGGAAGUUUUAUCACUAGUUUUAUGCUUGUUUUAAGCAUCAAAAUGCUAUAAAAUUAUGACAGUAAACAUAAUUAUUACCCGGGUCAUAAAGCUGCCAUCAGUGUAGCAUUUUCAUUUAUUGAAAGUAAUUAUUAUAUGUCUAUUGCUGUCCUUCAUCGCUUUAUCUAUUGCUUGCCAGUUUAUUGUGUGAGCUAUCUCUGGAGAUUGUUUUGGUAUGGACCUCCAUAUAUUGAAUUUGACAAAUCUGGAUUCUCCAUAAAAUGCCAUAAUUACCAGGUUAUCUCUUUAACUUUUUAAAAUGAUAAUUGUAUUAAAUUUUACUUAAUGUACCAGUUGCUUUUUUGUAAUAGUGUGGAUUUUUUUUUUGUUUAUUUCAUAUGUAUGCAAUACUAUGCAUGCAUGUAUGCAUGACCAAACCUUUCUGGUCAGCCAGAGCUUUAUCAAUACACUAAAGUUACAACAGUUUGAGGACAUCUUACAGAACCAUGGGAUGUCUACUUUGCUAAGAAGAUACCUAGACUUUUCUACAACAAUAUAUGCAAGGCUACAUGUUCCCAAUUCUCCGUCAGCUUCUUCGCUUGCCCCAGAAGGGUGUGGGAGCCUUCUGCAUGUUGUUGCCUAGCAACACUCAGUCAGCUGCUCCGCUCGCCAGGAGCAAAACAGGGAGGGGCGAGAGCCCUGCUGUGCAUUUCUGCCUAGAGAUUUUGUUAAAUCUUCACCGGACUGAACUUUUUACUUCCACAAUGUUGUUACUGUAAGUUCGUUUUAUGCAAUCCUAUAUUAAGGAGCCCCGAUGGCGGAGUGUGUAAAAGCACUGAGCUGGAGACUGAAAGGUCCCAGGUUCAAACCCCGGGAGCGGUGUGAGCGGCCGCUGUUAGCUCCAGCUCCUGCCAACCUAGCAGUUCGAAAACAUGCCAAUGUGAGUAGAUCAAUAGGUACCACUCCAGCGGGAAGGUAAUGGCGCUCCAUGCAGUCAUGCCGGCCACAUGACCUUGGAGGUGUCUACAGACAACGCCGGCUCUUCGGCUUAGUAAUGGAGAUGAGCACCAACCCCCAGAGUCAGACAUGACUGGACUUAACGUCAGGGGAAAACCUUUAACUUUACCUAUAUUUGUAGUAAAUUUUUAGCAGUUAAUGUUUUUGCAGUCAAUGUUUUGGUGCUAAAUUAAUAUAUACAGUAAUUACUAUGUAACGUUACCAUUUAUUGAGCUGCUUUUUCUGUGGAUUUGUUAUAAAACAUGAUGUUUGGUCCUAAAUUAAAAAAAUACAGUAAUUACUUCAUAACAUUACCAUGUAUUGAACUGCUUUUUCUGUGAAUUUGUUGCAAAAUAUGAUGUUUUGGUGCUUAAUUUGUAAAAUCAUAAUGAAAUUUGACAUUUAAUAAGCGUUUCCUUAAUCCCUUCUUAUUAUCCAACAUAUUCACUUAUCCAGCAUGCUGCCGGCUCGUUUAUGUUGGGUAAGUGAGACUCUACUGUAUUAAUUAUGUAUGUUUUCACUGGCAUUCUUAUUUUGUUUUUGUUCACCUUUGUUAGUUAUCUGAGUUAUAGUAUGGCUCUUAUCAGAUUUGCAGAUGGAACAAAAUGCCAAACCAGUACAAAACAGGAGUCAAAUCCAAAAAAGCAAAAUGUCCUUGAUAAAUUGGAGAAUAGCAUUCUAAGUAACAAAAGAAAAUUCAGCACUGUGUCUCCUUCCCACAUAACUGUUCUAUACUCAGAUGCAUCAGUAAAGUCAUCUCAAUUUCACUUUAGGUAGACAAUACCUUUUUUUUUUUUACAGAGCAACUAGAAUAUGCCAUUUGUCUUCAGUGAGGAUUAUGUACAUGUCUUCGAAUUCAGGGUCUCUUCCAAAAACACAUUUUCUGAAACUAACAUUCAUGCCCCACCUCAUUUAUUUAUUCCUUUCUCCAUAUUGUGUGGCCUUCAGAAGUUGCAUUCUUCUUGGAAUGCAGUUCAGGUCCCUUCAUGUGUUCUACCUAUUUCAGUUCCGGAAGAAUGCUAAUGCUUUAACAGUUACACAAUAGGCACAUGAAAUAUUGGGAUAUUUCGACAAAAAAGAAAAAGAAUUUGAUAUCUAUUACUUGAGUUAAUGACUUCUUUAAAAAAGGGUGGCAUUUCUUGAAUGGGUCAUAAAACAUUAAUACAAAUAAUGUGUAUACAUUUUUGAAAUCAGGCAUCAUUCAUCUGUUAAAGAGAGUAAAAACAAUGUAUAUUUUCUAUUGACCACCCUAUUUUGUAUAUAACAACAACAACAACAACAACAACAACAACAACAACUCUUUAUUGAUUAGUCAAUUUUGAACAUAUCAAAACAUGUGAAACAUACAAAACGUACACACUUGCCCAUACGUACAGUAAAACCAUGUAUAGAGAUACAAAGCAUCCCGCCCUACAGGCCUAGGUAGUUGUGCAAAUACAGAACAAAAAGAUUAAAAUUAAUUAAUUAAUUAAUUAAUUAUUCCCUUAAGGUAAGGUUUGAGUGGGGGCAAGGGUAAGUGAAACUAGUAGCUUGUCCAUAGUAAAUUUUAAAUUUGGAUUUUGUUAAUGGCAUUAAGGUCACAGCUCUCAGAUUCCAUCUUCUCGCAGAUGACCAGCGCUUUUUGCGUAAAAAGAGUCAGUUUUAAAAAAGAGUUUUUAUCAAAACCCUGUAGAAGGAUGUGCAAUUUCUCCUUAUUCUCUAAAUGAGGAUGGUUCUCCAGCAGAGGCUCUAAACAGAAAGAUCUAAUUCUGUUGUAAUAGGGGCAUUUUAAGAAAAAGUGUUCUGAGUCCUCCACUUCUGCAUCUAUCUCACGGCACCCACAGGUUCUCUUUGUAUAGGGGAUAUUCUGAUGUCUACCUAGCUUAGACUUAAUGUCAAGUUGCUCGGAUCUAGCUCAGGUAAAAAGUUUUCUAAUAUAUAGUGGAAGUGUAAAAAAGAGAUAGGUUUCCAUGCACACAUUGCAUUUAAAUUUAGCCAGGUAUGGAGUGGCUCUAGCUUGCGCUAUGAUCAUAAGAUCAUUUUGUGCAGCAAUGUCAAGGGCUCUUUGGUAAACAAUUGAGCACACUUCAGCCCCGAAAUUUAUUAGCUCGGUAGGGGCAAAACCUAACUCACUGACAGUGUGACCAGGUCUGCUUAGCCAUGAUGACCAUUCUUUGUGGUUUUCUUACUCUAAUAGGCAUAUGGCUGGGAGUCUAUGUGGUUGCAUUUGUCUUAUUUUGUACCACCAAUUGAUCUGCCUCUUCAGGAUUACUGUGGAAAUUGGGAGUACUCCCAUUUCUGCUCUCACUGCAGCUGACAGGGAUUUUGUAUAUAUACAAAUGCAUGUAUACUGAUUUUAAUGGGAUUUUCUCACCAACGAUUCUAUGUAAGAAUUCUAUGUGCUUUAUCUUGUAGU